Molecule: ribosomal RNA, 254 nt
Filed under: uncultured bacterium
Lineage: Bacteria
Description: partial 16S ribosomal RNA
Rfam family: Bacterial small subunit ribosomal RNA
Source: RNAcentral
UACGGGGGGAGCAAGCGUUGUUCGGAUUUACUGGGCGUAAAGGGCGCGUAGGCGGCCAGCACAAGUCAGUUGUGAAAUCUCCGGGCUUAACUCGGAAAGGUCAACUGAUACUGUGCGGCUAGAGUGCAGAAGGGGCAACUGGAAUUCUCGGUGUAGCGGUGAAAUGCGUAGAUAUCGGGAGGAACACCUGUGGCGAAAGCGGCUCUCUGGACCACAACUGACGCUGAGGCGCGAAAGCUAGGGGAGCAAACAGG